Molecule: ribosomal RNA, 1091 nt
Filed under: Plasmodium ovale (malaria parasite P. ovale)
Lineage: Eukaryota; Apicomplexa; Aconoidasida; Haemosporida; Plasmodiidae
Description: bacterial SSU rRNA
Rfam family: Eukaryotic small subunit ribosomal RNA
Source: RNAcentral
UUAAAAUUGUUGCAGUUAAAACGCUCGUAGUUGAAUUUCAAAGAGUCAUGGCGUUUCUGAGGUGCUACGCUUGGUUGAUCGCCCAGCACUGACCAUCUAUGAUUUUAUUGUAGAACAGUGAGCCUGGGUGUUUAGCUCCAAGAAAGUUGUCUCCUUUACAAAGUGAUUUUUCUAAGGGUCUCUUGAGUACCAGUCCUUGGGAGGUUCUUUUUACCUUGAGUAAAUUAGAGUGUUUAAAGCAAACAGAUACAACAGUUUACUGUGUUUAAAUACUACAGCAUGGAAUAAUAAUAUCGAAUGAGCCGACGUACUUUUCGUUUCUUUGUUAUUUUGGCUUAGUUACGAUUAACAGGAAUAGUUGGGGGCAUUUGUAUUCAGAUGUUAGAGGUGAAAUUCUAAGAUUAUCUGGAGACGAACAAUUGCGAAAGCAUCUGUCUAACAUAUUUUCAUUAAUCAAGAACGAAAGUUAAGGGAGUGAAGACGAUCAGAUACCGUCGUAAUCUUAACCAUAAACUAUGCCAACUAUGUUUUGGAUGUAUGAGAAAAAGGUGGAAUACUUUGUUUUACGACAUUGUCAUUCCAUUUAUGCUUCAUUCAGUACCUUAGAGAAAUCAAAGUCUUUGGGUUCUGGGGCGAGUAUUCGCGCAAGCGAGAAAGUUAAAAGAAUUGACGGAAGGGCACCACCAGGCGUGGAGCUUGCGGCUUAAUUUGACUCAACACGGGAAAACUCACUAGUUUAAGACAAGAGUAGGAUUGACAGAUUAAUAGCUCUUUCUUGAUUUCUUGGAUGGUGAUGCAUGGCCGUUUUUAGUUCGUGAAUAUGAUUUGUCUGGUUAAUUCCGAUAACGAACGAGAUCUUAACCUGCUAAUUAGCGGCGAAUACGUUAUAUUCCUACUUGAAAUUGAAUAUAGCUGAAUUUUGCUUAUUUUGAAGAAUACAUUAGGAUACAAUUAUAGUGUCCUUUUCCCUUUUCUACUUAAUUUGCUAUUCAUGCUGUUUCUUUUUUGUGUAGGAAUGUAUUCGUUUGAUUGUAAAGCUUCUUAGAGGAACGAUGUGUGUCUAACACAAGGAAGUUUAAGGCAACAACAGG